Molecule: ribosomal RNA, 253 nt
Filed under: uncultured bacterium
Lineage: Bacteria
Description: partial 16S ribosomal RNA
Rfam family: Bacterial small subunit ribosomal RNA
Source: RNAcentral
UACGAAGGGGGCUAGCGUUGCUCGGAAUCACUGGGCGUAAAGUGCACGUAGGCGGCUUUCUAAGUCAGGGGUGAAAUCCUGGAGCUCAACUCCAGAACUGCCUUUGAUACUGGAGAGCUUGAGUCCGGAAGAGGUGAGUGGAACUCCGAGUGUAGAGGUGAAAUUCGUAGAUAUUCGGAAGAACACCAGUGGCGAAGGCGGCUCACUGGUCCGGUACUGACGCUGAGGUGCGAAAGCGUGGGGAGCAAACAGG